Amphimedon queenslandica is the source of this 428-nucleotide long non-coding RNA. RefSeq lists it as uncharacterized. Lineage: Eukaryota; Metazoa; Porifera; Demospongiae; Haplosclerida; Niphatidae. The transcript has 2 exons. The record is from RefSeq and is a predicted model, not a curated record.
CAGGGAUAUAAUAGACUAACGUAACCGGGAUUGGCAACGGGAUCACGUGAGCGCAUGAUUUGUGUAUAAAAACUUUUUGCAGUCUCUGUUAUGAUUUUCAAGAUGGCAACUGCCAAUGUCUGGAGUAUGAAGUUGCUCUUUUCUCUUUUAAAAAUGUAUUUAGCUUUAUGAAAAAUCUACUGCAAAGUUAUAAUGGCGGCUUCAAGGUUCUGAUAGGUUAUUAGUGUUCUUCAGGAAAUAUUCAAGAAAAACCAGUUUGCCAUGGUACGACUUUUGCGUACCUCUCAGGAGAAUAGACUAGAUUCUAUUGCUAUGAAACUACAAUAAAGAGACCCUUUACAUGUUUUUACAUUGUUUAAAGUUGUUUUUGAAUUUUUCCUGUUGCUGGUUUUUUAGUUAUAACAAUUUACAUUCAGCCAUUUUGCUAA